CCCCCUACCAUCCCAAGCUGGGGCAGGCUCCAGAAGGGAAGGGCUGGUAUUAAGGGGCAGGUAUUGUCACUGGGGCCUGUGUCCUGCGUUCCAGGGCUGGUAUUACCUCAGAGGUGCCCCUCAGCCCUGGGCCUCCAGGUAAGCUGUGAAACAGGAAAGACCACUGCAUAUGGCUGUGCAAUUUAUUUACAAGGGUACCAGGUUGAGAGGGAAUCAUCACGAUGGAGUUGUUAAUUCUUUUUUUCUGGAUUUUUUCCUCAACGUGUUUUUUUUGGUUGAAUUCUUUUAAACUAUU
This is a long non-coding RNA of Orcinus orca (killer whale), 295 nucleotides long. RefSeq lists it as uncharacterized. NCBI's taxonomy places the organism in Eukaryota, Metazoa, Chordata, Mammalia, Artiodactyla, Delphinidae. The record is from RefSeq and is a predicted model, not a curated record. The transcript is spliced from 3 exons.